GCCGGAGUAGCUCAACGGUAGAGNNCGCUUUUGUAAAGCGAAGGUUGGGGGUUCGAUUCCUCUCUCCGGCUCCA
Molecule: transfer RNA, 74 nt
Filed under: Patescibacteria group bacterium
Lineage: Bacteria
Description: tRNA-Thr
Rfam family: tRNA
About the family: Transfer RNA (tRNA) molecules are approximately 80 nucleotides in length.
Source: RNAcentral